AUGCAGUUCCCAGGUUGAGCCCGGGGAUUUCACAUCCGACUUGACAGACCGCCUGCGUGCGCUUUACGCCCAGUAAUUCCGAUUAACGCUUGCACCCUCCGUAUUACCGCGGCUGCUGGCACGGAGUUAGCCGGUGCUUCUUCUGCGAGUAACGUCAAUUGCUGCGGUUAUUAACCAUAACGCCUUCCUCCUCGCUGAAAGUACUUUACAACCCGAAGGCCUUCUUCAUACACGCGGCAUGGCUGCAUCAGGCUUGCGCCCAUUGUGCAAUAUUCCCCACUGCUGCCUCCCGUAGGAGUCUGGACCGUGUCUCAGUUCCAGUGUGGCUGGUCAUCCUCUCAGACCAGCUAGGGAUCGUCGCCUAGGUGAGCCAUUACCCCACCUACUAGCUAAUCCCAUCUGGGCACAUCUGAUGGCAAGAGGCCCGAAGGUCCCCCUCUUUGGUCUUGCGACGUUAUGCGGUAUUAGCUACCGUUUCCAGUAGUUAUCCCCCUCCAUCAGGCAGUUUCCCAGACAUUACUCACCCGUCCGCCACUCGUCACCCAAGAAGAAAGUUUCUGUGCGC
This 565-nucleotide ribosomal RNA is filed under the name Klebsiella quasivariicola. RNAcentral's name for it is "partial 16S rRNA". Lineage: Bacteria; Pseudomonadati; Pseudomonadota; Gammaproteobacteria; Enterobacterales; Enterobacteriaceae. The record is from RNAcentral.